Ochotona curzoniae (black-lipped pika) is the source of this 119-nucleotide long non-coding RNA. RefSeq lists it as uncharacterized. Lineage: Eukaryota; Metazoa; Chordata; Mammalia; Lagomorpha; Ochotonidae. The record is from RefSeq and is a predicted model, not a curated record. The transcript has 3 exons.
AAAAGUUGUACAGACAACAGAGUAGCCUCAGCCUGGUAUCACAGGAGGUAGAGAGUGGUGAACCAGGAGCUGGGGAUAUGAAGACCAUGGUAGAAAGCUAACCUGGAACUCGCUGGAGG